Molecule: ribosomal RNA, 429 nt
Filed under: Gemmatimonadota bacterium
Lineage: Bacteria; Pseudomonadati; Gemmatimonadota
Description: Gemmatimonadetes bacterium partial 16S ribosomal RNA
Rfam family: Bacterial small subunit ribosomal RNA
Source: RNAcentral
UAGGGAAUCUUCGGCAAUGGACGAAAGUCUGACCGAGCAACGCCGCGUGAGUGAAGAAGGUUUUCGGAUCGUAAAACUCUGUUGUUAGAGAAGAACAAGGACGUUAGUAACUGAACGUCCCCUGACGGUAUCUAACCAGAAAGCCACGGCUAACUACGUGCCAGCAGCCGCGGUAAUACGUAGGUGUCAAGCGUUGUCCGGAUUUAUUGGGCGUAAAGCGAGCGCAGGCGGUUUCUUAAGUCUGAUGUGAAAGCCCCCGGCUCAACCGGGGAGGGUCAUUGGAAACUGGGAGAAUUGAAUGCAGAAGAGGAGAGUGGAAUUCCAUGUGUAGCGGUGAAAUGCGUAGAUAUAUGGAGGAACACCAGUGGCGAAGGCGGCUCUCUGGUCUGUAACUGACGCUGAGGCUCGAAAGCGUGGGGAGCAAACAGG